UAAACAGGUAGAGGUGCGGCUGAGAUCAGUAACAAAAAGCAGGAUGACCAUUCCGUUUAUGUUUUGUGAAAGGCGAUGCUGCCGAAGGACAGUUUCCGGUAAAUUCUGUUCUGGUCAAUGGCUUAACAGGCUCUUGACUGUCAUCAUGCAUUUGAUGGAGAGCUAUCGACACG
This is a regulatory RNA element of Ruminococcus sp. CAG:624, 173 nucleotides long. It matches the Rfam family "Lysine riboswitch aptamer". From Rfam's summary of the family: Riboswitches are metabolite binding domains within certain messenger RNAs that serve as precision sensors for their corresponding targets. The record is from Rfam. NCBI's taxonomy places the organism in Bacteria, Bacillati, Bacillota, Clostridia, Eubacteriales, Oscillospiraceae.